UUGAUUACGUCCCUGCCCUUUGUACACACCGCCCGUCGCUGUCCGGGACUGAGCUGUUUCGAGAAGAGUGGGGACUGCUAUAUCGGGGCUUUCGGGCUCUGGUAUGAUGGAAACCAUUUUAAUCGCAAUGGCUUGAACCGGGCAAAAGUCGUAACAAGGUAUCUGUAGGUGAACCUGCAGAUGGAUCAUCGUCGAUACCUUAUAGGUACAUGCUGAUCACGAGAUGCCGAUAAUCAUGGAAUCAGGCUUGUUCUUGGUUCCAGUCGGUGUCUCACCCCAUCUAAGCUCUCGGUGAGGUGUCUAUUCUUGAUUGGAGCCGCUUUGAGUGACGGCAAUGAUAGUUGGGUAUGUUCCCCGUGAGGGUAGAGCAUAGACUUUAUGAACAGAGCUGGGCUGUCGCCUCACCAAAAACCAUCGAUAACUGGUGGCUGAGUGAGAAAUCACUGGAUCUGCUAUGCAGGGAGCCUUAAUGAGUUGGUCUUCACCGACACAACCGCCACUAUCGGUAAUCUAUUCCCAAUUUACUUGUUUCUAGUAAAAGGCUAAAUUAGUCAGUGGAAAAUAGCCUUAGCGAUGGAUCGGUUGAUUCGCGUAUCGAUGAAAAACGCAGCUAGCUGCGUUAUUUACCACGAAUUGCAGACGCUUAGAGGUGGUGAAGUUUUGAACGCACAGCGCCGGUUGGGUUUUCCCUUCGGCACGUCUGGCUCAGGGUUGUGUAAUAGACUUCGAUAUUGCUAGGAAGGCAGCAAUAUCGUGCACCGAACGGAGAUAGUGUCUAUAAAAUAGUGGUGCAUACCCCGUUUUAGGGUAAAAUAAAGGUUGUAAACUGAAACUUCUUCCGCCCGAGAAGUUAUAGGUAAUACUUAUGGAUGUGCCAUGUAUGAAAUAUGACGUGGUUAUAUACAUAAAUAGUAUUUCCUUGAAGUCUCAUUAUGCAACCUGAGCUCAGUCGUGAUUACCCGCCGAACUUAAGCAUAUCAUUCAGCGGAGGAAAAGAAACUAACUAGGAUUCCCUUAGUAACGGCGAGUGAAA
RNAcentral lists this ribosomal RNA (1033 nucleotides) under Heterorhabditis indica. RNAcentral describes it as "eukaryotic LSU rRNA". The stretch from base 1 to 191 matches the Rfam family "Eukaryotic small subunit ribosomal RNA", at positions 1641 to 1831 of the family's 1831-position model. Lineage: Eukaryota; Metazoa; Nematoda; Chromadorea; Rhabditida; Heterorhabditidae. The record is from RNAcentral.